UGGGGAAUAUUGCGCAAUGGGGGAAACCCUGACGCAGCGACGCCGCGUGCGGGAUGAAGGCCUUCGGGUUGUAAACCGCUUUUGAUUGGGAGCAAGCUUUCGGGUGAGUGUACCUUUCGAAUAAGCGCCGGCUAACUACGUGCCAGCAGCCGCGGUAAUACGUAGGUCCCGAGCGUUGUCCGGAUUUAUUGGGCGUAAAGCGAGCGCAGGCGGUUAGAAAAGUCUGAAGUGAAAGGCAGUGGCUCAACCAUUGUAGGCUUUGGAAACUGUUUAACUUGAGUGCAGAAGGGGAGAGUGGAAUUCCAUGUGUAGCGGUGAAAUGCGUAGAUAUAUGGAGGAACACCGGUGGCGAAAGCGGCUCUCUGGUCUGUAACUGAUGCUGAGGCUCGAAAGCGUGGGGAGCGAACAGG
RNAcentral lists this ribosomal RNA (410 nucleotides) under Bacteroidota bacterium. RNAcentral describes it as "Bacteroidetes bacterium partial 16S ribosomal RNA". It matches the Rfam family "Bacterial small subunit ribosomal RNA", at positions 355 to 776 of the family's 1533-position model. Lineage: Bacteria; Pseudomonadati; Bacteroidota. The record is from RNAcentral.